GCACUCCAGCCUGGGUGACAGAGUGAGACCCUGUCUCUAAAAAAGAACAAUAAAAAGACCCAAGUCGGACACAUCAUUCCUACACUCAAAGCCCGUGAACGGCUUCCUCUGGCAACUGGAGUCAAACAUCAAGUCCUCCCGGAGCCGGAGAGCCCUGCAGUACUUUGGCUGCUCUGUGGCCUCACCUGGGACCCCUGGUCUGUCCACUUGCUACUGUCCAGUGACAGUGGCUUCCCACCAUCCCUUAAACUCCCCCUUUGCUGCUGCUGCUCUAGGGCUGUUACACUGUUUUCUCUGCACAGAAUGCUCUGUCCGGCUCUGCAUGGCUUGUUCCUGAAAUUCAUGCAGGUGAGCUAGUCGGAGGCCUCCCCUUAACCCCACCACAGAUGAAUGCCCCUUCUCACCCUCCUGCAAUCCAAAAUGUGUGUCUCUCGGAACCUCUGGCCCACUUCCCUUUUCUCUGUGGAGCUCGUUACCAUGGGACCCUGGGUUUUGUAACUGUGGUUUAUUGCCUUGUCUUUCCAAUAAGAAUGCACAGCAGUCUGUCUGGGUCAUUGCGGUAGCCCCUCACACCCCCCUGAACAAUGCUGGGUAGACACCCAAUAGAGUUAUCAAAUGGAUAAAUAAAUGCAAUUGCAGAGAGGAGGCGGCCACUUUUGGCGGCCUCCAUGCGUGGUGCCAGGGCCAUGUGCGAGGCCAUUGACGAGUGUUAGCUCACUGGAUUUCCAUACUGACCUCGGGAGGUGGAGACUCACAAAUCCAUUUUACAAAUAAGGAAUCUAAGGCUCAAAAAAUCCCAAGGAGACCACACAGCUCGCGACGGGUUGAGCCAGUUUUGACGCCAAGUUUGCCUGCAGCCCGAGCCCAAGUGCCACCCCUGCUCCAUGCCACUUGCUGGCACAGCUCUGAUGACUGUCUCCUGCCUGGCUCUGACGGGUCUCUGCCCAAGUGUUCUGGUAAUGAUUUUCACCCCCCCGUCUGCCCCCUUCAUCGUGACUCUCAUUCAUUUGUUUUAAAGGCCAUUUCUCUCCUGUCCUAUAGCCUUGCACAUUCUGGUUAGCUAAACAAGAACUCCAGUUCUCGGCAACACAUCAGUGAGACAGGAUGGGGCGGGGAGAGGCGCCCACCUCCGUGUGCUAAUGCAUUUACCUCCAGGCCGCAGGCCUCCGCGGAGCUGGCAGCCAGGAACCUCCAGAGGCUCCCAACCUAGCCCGUCCUGCAAGAUGAAGCUGCUUCUUGGGAAUCUUUUAGCUCAGGAUGCUGUGUUCCAUAUUCACGACGGCAUUUCCAUGCUCGUGAGGGCAACCAGUAGAACUGUUCUCUGUGCCGGACGAGCACCAAUGGCUCCGCUCCUCCUUGCUGCCUCCCUGAGUCGCUCUGUCCCUGGGACUGCUAAGGGCACGGGGCCUGUAGUGACGGUUCCGGCCGCCAGGGAAGAUGCUGGCCUUCCUGGUCUGCCUGGGAUUAAUGAACUUGGCCACUCUUGGGACUCCUCCCCUUGCUAGCCUGCAGGUUCACCUCUCCCAAGAGUCCAGGGUCUGUAUCGCCCCUUUCCUUCUCCCCUUAACUGAUUUAUCUUGCUUUGGGAUAAUACCACCCCCUCCCUCCCCACGACCAGACAAGCCAUGUGUGCCCCGCCCUCUCCUAAGCAAUUUACAGGAAUGAACUCCUGACUCUCCAAACAACUGUAUGGGACAGGCACCCCCCCAUCUUCCAGAGAACAGCAUGCAGGCUCAGAGAGGUGAAGUGACUUGCCCAUGGUCACACUGCUGGGGAGGUGGAGAAGCCAGGAUGUAGGCUGGCUUAACUGUGCUGCUAUUCUGCCUCAUGGCAUUUAGUUUGAAGAGAAGGGGCUUCAGGACAAUACUAACCUAGGUGCACAGGUUGUCCUUCCCGUUGCUAAGGAGCCCUAGGCAAGUCAGUUAAUCUCAGAGUCUGUUUCAUCGGCAAAAUGGGCCUGAAUUUCUUCCUGAUUCACUGGGUAGUUUGUACAGAUGAAAUGUGAUCACAGCUGCCAAUAAACCUGGUCCCACAGUGACGUGGACAGCAGCCUCCUGCAGCACCACUGCUCCGCCCGGGCUAUGAGAAGAUGGGCACUGGCAGGGAGGGUGGCAGGCAGUCCCAACAGCUGGGGCUCCAGGCUGAUAGCAGUGGCUGAGAGGGAGUCAUCCCAGAUCUCAGGCUAUCCCACCCAUCUCAUCCCAGAGGGCACCAUAUGUCUCUCCACCACAUAGUCACCUGUCUCCCUGACUGUGUUCCACUGUCACUAGAACAAGAGGAUCUGGGCCUGCCAAGCUCCAAAGACAGCUCAUCGUGAGGAGGAAAAGUGACUUUACAAAAGCAAUGUGUGGUGGCUGUUAAACUGCUGCAUCUUCUAUCCGCCUUCACACCAUUCUCACGCACAUACACAUGCGCACACACAUGCCUACAUGCACACACAUAGGCAUGGGCGCACACACAGGCAUGCGCACACAUGCGUACAUGCACGCACACAGGC
RNAcentral lists this long non-coding RNA (2497 nucleotides) under Homo sapiens (human). Its description in RNAcentral is "HSALNT0383160". The record is from RNAcentral. Lineage: Eukaryota; Metazoa; Chordata; Mammalia; Primates; Hominidae.